CAGCAGCCGCGGGAAUACGUAGGGUGCGAGCGUUAAUCGGAAUUACUGGGCGUAAAGCGUGCGCAGGCGGUUGUGUAAGACAGGUGUGAAAUCCCCGGGCUUAACCUGGGAACUGCGCUUGUGACUGCACAGCUAGAGUAUGGCAGAGGGGGGUGGAAUUCCACGUGUAGCAGUGAAAUGCGUAGAGAUGUGGAGGAACACCGAUGGCGAAGGCAGCCCCCUGGGCCAAUACUGACGCUCAUGCAUGAAAGCGUGGGGAGCAAACAGGAUUAGAUACCCCCGUAGUCCCUGUCUCUUAUAC
Molecule: ribosomal RNA, 301 nt
Filed under: uncultured bacterium
Lineage: Bacteria
Description: partial 16S ribosomal RNA
Rfam family: Bacterial small subunit ribosomal RNA
Source: RNAcentral